UACGGGGGGGGCAAGCGUUGUUCGGAAUUACUGGGCGUAAAGGGCUCGUAGGCGGCCAACUAAGUCAGACGUGAAAUCCCUCGGCUUAACCGGGGAACUGCGUCUGAUACUGGAUGGCUUGAAUCCGGGAGAGGGAUGCGGAAUUCCAGGUGUAGCGGUGAAAUGCGUAGAUAUCUGGAGGAACACCGGUGGCGAAGGCGGCAUCCUGGACCGGCAUUGACGCUGAGGCGCGAAAGCUAGGGGAGCGAACGGG
RNAcentral lists this ribosomal RNA (253 nucleotides) under uncultured bacterium. RNAcentral's name for it is "partial 16S ribosomal RNA". It matches the Rfam family "Bacterial small subunit ribosomal RNA", at positions 524 to 776 of the family's 1533-position model. The record is from RNAcentral.